UUAGAGUUUGAUCCUGGCUCAGGAUGAACGCUAGCUACAGGCUUAACACAUGCAAGUCGAGGGGAAACGGCAUUUAGUGCUUGCACCGAAUGGACGUCGACCGGCGCACGGGUGAGUAACGCGUAUCCAACCUACCCAUUACUGUGGGAUAACCUGCCGAAAGGCAGACUAAUACCGCAUAGUCUUCGAUGACGGCAUCAGAUUUGAAGUAAAGAUUUAUCGGUAAUGGAUGGGGAUGCGUCUGAUUAGCUUGUUGGCGGGGUAACGGCCCACCAAGGCAACGAUCAGUAGGGGUUCUGAGAGGAAGGUCCCCCACAUUGGAACUGAGACACGGUCCAAACUCCUACGGGAGGCAGCAGUGAGGAAUAUUGGUCAAUGGGCGCGAGCCUGAACCAGCCAAGUAGCGUGCAGGAUGACGGCCCUAUGGGUUGUAAACUGCUUUUGUAUGGGGAUAAAGUCAAUCACGCGUGAUUGUUUGCAGGUACCAUACGAAUAAGGACCGGCUAAUUCCGUGCCAGCAGCCGCGGUAAUACGGAAGGUCCGGGCGUUAUCCGGAUUUAUUGGGUUUAAAGGGAGCGUAGGCCGGAGAUUAAGUGUGUUGUGAAAUGUAGACGCUCAACGUCUGACUUGCAGCGCAUACUGGUUUCCUUGAGUACGCACAACGUUGGCGGAAUUCGUCGUGUAGCGGUGAAAUGCUUAGAUAUGACGAAGAACUCCGAUUGCGAAGGCAGCUGACGGGAGCGCAACUGACGCUUAAGCUCGAAGGUGCGGGUAUCGAACAGGAUUAGAUACCCUGGUAGUCCGCACAGUAAACG
This 815-nucleotide ribosomal RNA is filed under the name uncultured bacterium. Its description in RNAcentral is "bacterial SSU rRNA". It matches the Rfam family "Bacterial small subunit ribosomal RNA", at positions 1 to 808 of the family's 1533-position model. The record is from RNAcentral.